AAGGUGGGUAUAAGGUUGCGGCCUAUAAAAUGGCGCUUAAUGGGUGUACACUCACACCCACCGCUUGCUUGAUUGGUGGAGGGUCGUUAGCCGAACGGGUAGGAUAGGGCAACCUCAUCCUCUCAUUAAAAGUAUAAUAGGAAAUACAAAGUAACUACACAUAUUUUAAAAUUUCCCAAUCUUAGUUACUUUAGGAAAAGUGAAUUGAUGCAAUCCCAUGAAAUUACACUUUGCACCCUUGCUAAGAAGUUAGUGGAGCGUGUGUGGUUUACCGGCACACUAAUUGGUUCUAAGCAAAGGUGGCAAAGGGUGAUUCAUUGUUUAUCAUAGUUCGAUGGAGCGUGUGUGGUUUACCGGCACAUCGAAUAGGUGAUCGUUACAAUGAAGGCACCAUGUGAAUUUGCAUGGUAAUUCACACCCGCUUUGUGAUCCUCGGUAUCCCAGUCACAAACAAGAGGGGCAUAUCGAGAUUUAAACAUGCCAUUGAAUAGUUUCAAUGAAUCUCAUCCGAACCUAGGAAUUCUCAAUACAUUUAGGACUAAUAGUUAGGUUUUGUGAUGGAGAAUUAGUGAAUCGUCAUUCACUUACCUUCAAUUUAUUUGCAUGUUAGAUUACGGCAUCCCUUUUCUAAUAUGUAAAUGUUAUUGUUGGAUCCUAGCCCUAAUUUUUCUUAUUGGGUGAUAAUUAGGGAUUCAUAUUCUAAUCUAUCUUUGUCCUUUCUAAUUGUAGAUGUCGAACGCAAACAACGCUGCUGCUAGUUCUUUCACGUUGAUGAGCCUUUGCCAAAAGGUCACCUUCGAUGGAACGAACUUUAGCGAAUGGAUAAGAUACAUUCGCACCAUUGCUCGCUAUGAGGAUAAGGAGUAUGUCCUCGAUGAGAAGCUCGAGAAAAUCAACCCUGAAAUCGCUACUCCGGCUGAAAUGACCGCUUUUGAAACUCAUGAGCGCGAUGCAACGAAGGUACAUUGCAUCAUGAUAGCCACCAUGAACUCCGAAUUCCAAAAGUCCUAUGAGGACAUGUACCCGUACGAGAUGCAUCAAGACUUAUUGGAGAGAUACCACCAAAACGCGAGACAAGAGCGUUAUGAGAUUUUCACUAACAUGAUUUCCGCUAAAAUGGGUCAUGGAGAGUCUCUUACCGUGCACCUGCAAAAGAUGCAAAGGUAUGUCGACCGUCUUUGCAAGUUGAAUGUUGAAUUUGGGGAAAACUUGGCGAUCGACAUGGUGCUUCAAUCUUUACCUCCAAGUUACAAUCAAUUUAGGAUGACCUAUCACAUGAACAAAGAAGAGGUCACCCUAAGCAAACUCCAAGGUCUCUUGAGGGUCGCUGAGAGCAACUUCAAGGACAAGUCUGUUGCACCAACUCCCAAUCCACCCGCUGCUCCUGUCUUGGCUAUUGGACAAGGAAAGGGAAAGAAGAGGAAGGCUUCGUCUAAGAACUAUCGCAAGGUUAAAGCCCGAGAUGGUGCCUCUUCUAGUGGGACCAAAGUUGAUCCCGCUAAGCCCUGCCCUAACCCAAAGGAGGCAGAGUGCCACCACUGCCACAAGAUAGGACAUUGGAAGAGAAGCUGCCCAGAGUACCUGCAAGCCAUCAAGGAAGGAAAGAUCAAGCCGUCUUUCGCAGGUAUAUACACAAUUAAAUCUAACGAUUCAUCUCAUGCUAUUUCUUGGGUUCUUGAUACCGGUUGUGGUUACCACAUUUGUUCUAAUGUGCAGGGACUAAGAAGAAAUAGGGAUGUGGAGGCUGGAAGAAUAAAUCUAAUCAUGGGGAACAGAAGAUCGUCGCCUGUGACCAAGAUUGGAGUGUAUUCUUUAGUGCUUAGGAAUGGUUUAAGUUUAGAUUUGAACAAUUGUUGCUAUUCGCCAGAAAUGGCUAGAAACAUCAUUUCAUUUCAUGGUUUGUUUAGACAAGGUUUUAGAUUUUCUUUUAAUAAUGAGAAUGGUUCUAUUUUGGCUUAUCUAAAUGGUGUCUUUUAUUUUGAAGCUAUACCAUGUAAUGGAAUUUAUGAAACUGUUAUGAUUGUUGAUAACUUAGGAAAUGAUGUUUUGAACAUAGAUUCUUCCAAUAGUAUGGAUAAAGCAUCCUUGUGGCAUUGUCGUCUUGGACAUGUCAACAAGAAACGCAUAGCCCAACUCCAAAAGGAUGGAGUGUUGGAGUCAUUCGACCUUAGGGAAGAUGACACAUGCGAGUCUUGUUUGCUUGGAAAGAUGACUAAGUCACCCUUCACGAGUACAUGUGAAAGGGGUGAGGGUCUAUUGGACCUAAUACAUACCGAUGUAUGUGGACCGUUUAGAUCAACCACGAAGGAUGGGAACCGCUUCUACGUGACUUUUACCGAUGACUAUAGUAGAUAUGGGUAUAUCUACUUAAUCAAGCAAAAGUCAGAAACUUUUGAAAAGUUCAAAGAGUUCAAGAAUGAAGUGGAGAAUCAAUUGGGCAGGAAAAUCAAGAUGCUUCGAUCCGAUCGAGGAGGAGAGUACCUAAGUCUUGAAUUCCACGAUUAUCUCAAGGAGUGUGGAAUAGUUUCACAAUUGACGCCUCCUAGGACACCGCAGUUGAAUGGUGUGGCAGAAAGGCGUAAUCGAACCUUAUUGGAUAUGGUUCGCUCUAUGAUGAGUCGUGCUUCACUACCUAUCUCUUUUUGGGGGUAUGCCUUAGAGACUGCCGCCCAUAUCCUUAACCGAGUCCCUACUAAGAAGGUUGCCAAAACACCUCACGAGAUGUGGACAGGGAAAGCUCCCUCGUUGGCACAUAUCAAGGUUUGGGGUUGCGAGGCUUUCGUAAGACGAGAUACUCACGACAAGCUUGAACCUCGAAGUGAGCGAUGUAUUUUCAUCGGCUACCCGCAGACAUCCUUUGGAUAUCUCUUCUAUAGACCGAAGGACAAUGUUGUCUUCGUUGCGAGGAGAGGAGUUUUCCGAGAGCGAGAACUCAUAAGCCAAGGAGACAGUGGGAGGCAAAUCGAACUUGAAGAGAUUCAAGAGUCGAUAGAUGAAGGAACCUCUACCGCUGGCACUCAACCCGAGGAGGAAACUCCGGUUGAACCGAUUGACGAAUCCUUACCUCUUAGACGUUCCGAUAGAGUUAGAGUUCAUCCCCAGUUUUAUGGUUUUCAUAUUACUACCGAAGGGGACACGUAUAUUAGUGAUGGUACACUAGUAAAUCUUGAUGAACCUAAUAGCUAUAAGGAAGCCAUGGCAGGCCCGGAGUCUGCAAAAUGGAAAGAGGCAAUGGAUAGCGAGAUCCAAUCCAUGUAUGAUAACCAAGUUUGGAAUUUGGUUGAUUAUGUGCCCGGACGUAAGACCGUUGGGUGCAAAUGGAUCUUCAAGAAGAAGACCGACGUGGAUGGAAACGUACACACAUAUAAAGCGCGAUUGGUUGCGAAGGGCUUUACUCAAACUCCCGGAGUUGACUAUGAUGAGACCUUCUCACCAGUUGCGAAGAUUAAAUCUAUUAGAGUGAUGCUAGCUAUUGCCGCAUUUCAUGAUUAUGAGAUUUGGCAAAUGGAUGUCAAGACCGCUUUCCUUAACGGAAAGUUGGCUGAGGAUGUUUACAUGGCUCAGCCAGAGGGGUUUGUGGAUCCGAAGCAUCCGGAUAGAGUGUGUAAGCUUGAGAAGUCCAUUUAUGGACUUAAGCAAGCGUCUCGCAGAUGGAAUCUUUGCUUCGAUGAGAAAGUCAAAGAGUUUGGAUUUGUACGAAGCGAAGACGAAUCUUGUGUAUAUGUCAAAGCCAGUGGGAGUAUAGUAAGCUUCCUCGUUCUAUAUGUCGAUGACAUAUUACUCAUAGGAAACGACAUCCCGACUCUGCAGGAGGUUAAGUCCUGGCUCGGGAAGUGCUUCGCUAUGAAGGACCUCGGAGAGGCUUCUUACAUUUUGGGAAUAAGGAUAGUAAGAGAAAGAAGUAAGAGACUAAUUGGACUUAGUCAGAAUACUUACUUAGAGAAGGUACUAAAACGUUUUAGUAUGGAAAACUCAAAGAAGGGAGAACUACCGAUACAAAGUAAUGCCAAAUUGAGUAAGACUCAAAGUCCGAGUACCGAAGCUGAGAUAGCAGAAAUGAGCCGAGUACCAUACGCUUCCGCAGUUGGCUCAAUCAUGUACGCUAUGACUUGUACUCGCCCUGAUGUAGCCUUCGCUUUGAGCAUGGUUAGCAGAUAUCAAGGGAAUCCUGGCAAAGCACAUUGGAUUGCGGUGAAGAAUAUCCUUAAGUACCUUCGGAGGACGAAGGAAUGGUUCUUAGUCCUCGGAGGGAGUGAUGACUUGAAGGUGCGAGGGUAUAGUGACGCCAGUUUUCAGACCGACAGGGACAACUACCGUUCGCAGUCGGGCUGGGUCUUUACCCUAAAUGGAGGAGCAGUGACAUGGAAGAGUUCCAAGCAGGAAACCGUAGCUGAUUCAACGUGCGAAUCAGAGUACAUUGCAGCGAGCGAAGCGUCGAAGGAGGCAAUAUGGCUAAAGAACUUCAUCGGUGAUCUUGGAGUUGUACCUGCCAUAAAGGAGCCAAUGGAGAUUUUCUGUGAUAACGAAGGCGCGGUUGCCUUAACCAAGGAACCGAGGGAUCAUGGUAGAUCAAGACAUAUCGACAGAAAGUAUCACUUCAUUAGACAUCGUGUAGAAGAAGGACAACUCGUAGUGAAGAGGAUAUCAUCAGAAGAUAACCCAGCAGAUCCGCUUACGAAGGGACUGAGUAGGGUUAAGCACUUGCAGCAUGCUAGGAGUAUUGGGCUGAAGGAUGAUAUUAGCAUAGAUUAGAUAGUAUUAGAAACGUGUAAUAGAUAAAUGUAAUUAACAUUUGAUGAUUAAAUAAAGGAGUUUUAUUUAUGAGUAAUGUUACUAUCUUAUGUUAAUUGUUUAGCUAUUGUUUCACUUUGCAUGUUUUGACUUCCAGAAUAAUUGAGUUUAUUAGGAAUAAUCGAAUUGUUCAAAUGGUCCACAAUCGUUCAUAUGUUGGGAGUAGAUAUGAAUGAAGAUUGUCAUGAAUUGGUGUGUAGAAUGUCUAAAUGGUGUUAGACAUAGCAAAGGAUUGCUGCAACGUUCAUGAGUGCUUAUGAACUAGUUUUGAGCAUUGGAAUAAACCCGCGCUUGCUGGAAUCACCUUAUGGAAUACGAUAUAAAAGGUGAUCGCAAGACGAUAAUAUCAUAUAGUCUUAAAACCUAGAUAUAUGGUUUAUUAUUUGUUAAUUGAUUGUACAUUGAUAAUACGAAAACGCAUCAGUAACUUGGUGUUAUAAAACGUAUUGUUGUGUAUAGUUGGUAAAUGAAUAAGUAAAUGCAUAUAAGUCGAAGUUUAUCUGUAACUUUUAUCUAAGAAGGUAAAAGCGAUAUCUCGGCCGCUCGAUGAUUUGAUUUGACUUAUGUGCCGGGCCCGGUCAGAACUGAAUUGAUGUGUUCGAUUAAGUUCUAUGUCAAAUAAAUCAGAGAUCGAGAAACCUAAAUGCUUGACUAACCAUUCCAUAGGAUUGUCAGCAUGAUAUCUAACAGAGGACUGUACGUUCCCUUAUCUAAAGGACAAGAUUGAUUAGAUCAGAGUUGACAGCGUCUUUGAGAGCUACGAUUGCAAACCGAAUUGUACUUGUAUAGUUACUAGACUUAUCCAAGUGGGAGACUGUUGGAAUAGUGUCUAAGGCUGUAACUAUAUUAGGCAAGUAUUUGAUCCGGUUGUGCAUGGUCCUUUUGGGUUGCCUUCACCAUAGCAACUUGAUAGGAUGAUUUAUUAAGAGAGAGUAAAUAUUAUUAAUAUAUUAUGAGAAUAAUAUAAUGAAUAAUAUAUUUGUUAUUUGAUUAAUAUAAGUCAUAGAAUUAAUUAGAAUUAAUUUGGUGACUUAAAGAGAUUAAUUAAAUAAAGGGGUAUAAACUGUCAAUUGUUUGAUAGUUAAGCUUUAGACUGUAAAUCCAUUUGGAUAUGCUAUGGACGAAUUCUAAGAGGAUUAGGAUAGCUAAAAUCGUCCAUUAGAGUUAUCUAGGAAUGGAUUUGGAUAGCCUUAAGAGAAGAUUAUCUGAUAGGGACUUAUCUGUAAUCCUUAAGGAGUCUACAAGUAUAAAUAGACCCCAUGGCAUAGGGAAUUCGACACUUCUGAAAAAGCAAGAGAACUCUGGUCGAAUUCCUCCCCUCUCCUCUCUCCUAAAUCAUUCUUAUUGCUAUUGGUGUUUGUAAGCCAUUAGAGGAGUGACACUUGUGACUCUAGAAGCUCCAAGACCUCAAGAUCAACAAGGAACUCAAAGGUAUGAUUCUAGAUCUGUUUCAAUGUUGUUAUUUAACCUAAUUAGUCAUUAGAAGACUUGGAUUCAAUGCAUGUUUAUUAGAAAGCCUAGAUCCAAGCAUUAGGGUUUUGCAUGCGCACAUAGGAAAGUUCUUAUGGCUAAAACCCAUCAGUGGUAUCAGAGCCUAGCUUGGUUUUCUUUAAAUUGUUGCUUGAUUAACUGAAACAAACCUGCAAAAUUCGAUUUUUUGGUUUCUGAGUCAUGGACUCGGCGAGUCCCAAAGUGGACUCGGCGAGUAGGCCUGACUCGGCGAGUCCAUUUGUGCACUCGGCGAGUCCAGGCGUCAGGAAUGGCCAGAUUCGGGAUUUCUUUGUGUUUAUCUUAUCUUAACUUACCAUAAACUAAUUAGAUCAACAUUAAUUCGUUUUUCUGAUAAAUAUAACUAUUAUCUUGAUCUAGUUAAAGGUAAUUAUCAACUAAUUAAAUAUUUAAUUUCCUUAUAUGAUAAUUAAUUAAUUAUUUUAAUUAUUUUGGUAAUUAUCUUAAAAAGAAAUCUUGAAUAAAUCAAAUAUAGAUAAUUAGGAUAUUAAUUGUUAAUUGGAAUUAUUUGUUAUUUGAUCCUCCAUGUUUUAAAUGUUUAAAACCUACCCUCAUGUUUUGAAAUUUACUUUUGUGAUUAAAAGUUUUAAUUUAGACAACUUAAAUUUCAAACCCUAGAUUUUAAAAGUUUUAAAAUACAACCCUAUACUAAUAUGAUAUUACUAGAAUAAUAUAUAUAUGUAUAACUAAAUGCUAGUCUUACCGUUAGUAGGCCUCAUUCACGAAGCCGAUCUAUAAGGUGGGUAUAAGGUUGCGGCCUAUAAAAUGGCGCUUAAUGGGUGUACACUCACACCCACCGCUUGCUUGAUUGGUGGAGGGUCGUUAGCCGAACGGGUAGGAUAGGGCAACCUCAUCCUCUCAUUAAAAGUAUAAUAAGAAAUACAAAGUAACUACACAUAUUUUAAAAUUUCCCAAUCCUAGUUACUUUAGGAAAAGUGAAUUGAUGCAAUCCCAUGAAAUUACACUUUGCACCUUGCUAAGAUGUUAGUGGAGCGUGUGUGGUUUACCGGCACACUAAUUGGUUCUAAGCGAAGGUGGCAAAGGGUGAUUCAUUGUUUAUCAUAGUUCGAUGGAGCGUGUGUGGUUUACCGGCACAUCGAAUAGGUGAUCGUUACAAUGAAGGCACCAUGUGAAUUUGCAUGGUAAUUCACACCCGCUUUGUGAUCCUCGGCAUCCCAGUCACAAACAAGAGGGGCAUAUCGAGAUUUAAACAUGCCAUUGAAUAGUUUCAAUGAAUCUCAUCCGAACCUAGGAAUUCUCAAAAACACUUAGGACUAAUAGUUUAAGUUUUGUGAUGGAGAAUUAGUGAAUCGUCAUUCACUUACCUUCAAUUUAUUUGCAUGUUAGAUUACGGCAUCCCUUUUCUAGUAUGUAAAUGUUAUUGUUGGAUCCUAGCCCUAAUUUUCUUAUUGGGUGAUAAUUAGGGAUUCUUAUUCUAAUCUAUCUUUGUCCUUUUCUAAUUGUAGAUGUCGAACGCAAACAACGCUGCUGCUAGUUCUUUCACGUUGAUGAGCCUUUGCCAAAAGGUCAC
This 7831-nucleotide long non-coding RNA is filed under the name Lactuca sativa (garden lettuce). Its description in RNAcentral is "long non-coding RNA (LSAT_LNC002424)". Lineage: Eukaryota; Viridiplantae; Streptophyta; Magnoliopsida; Asterales; Asteraceae. The record is from RNAcentral.